GGGCUCUCAUUUUGCUUGGAUUUGCGUCAGUAAAAGCUGAUUGCCCAGUGCCACAGAGGAGUGCAAUCGAAUGAAGGGAAUUCCGAGGAGAAGAAUGGUCUGAUUGGUGCCUGCAGAACACAUCUGACAUGGAGGGCCCCACCUGCCCCAUCCUCGGGCAGCAGGCUAUCUUCAAUCAAUCACUCAACUCAUAGAGAACAUGACAUCACUCAGGCUCACACUACUAUUGAGGACCUCUUGAGUUCCCCUGCUGCUGUCCCCAAUGCCCUCUCUUCUCUUCCUCCCCCUCCUCUGUGACUCUCUUCGGUGACGGGUAUUCUUGGGUGGAUAAUACGGAUCACGUUGUUAUUGCUUAAGAAUACGCGUAGUUGAGGAGAGUCCUCUCGACACCGACUUGGAGGAGCUAAAGGAGCUAACGUCCCGCUGCAUGAGCCAAAGUAGAGCCAGGAUGACUGCCUGGUUUCCAUAUCCAGGACCAUUUAUCAUGUAACUGGACAGAUUAACAAAGCCUAAUUACUUUACUGGGCUUUCAGCUACGCUUUCCAGCCCCUAUAGACGCUAGCAGCAAGAAGAGAGAAAGCAAGAGAGAGAGAGAGAGCGAGAGAGAGAGAAAGCGAGAGAAAGAGCGAGAGAGAGAGAGAGAGAGAGAGAGAGAUAUUAAACUCUUACAGUUACCUCUCCCAGGAUGUUUUUUCGCAGUAUCAUAUUAUUGUGCAGUGUAAUAUGAUUUGAUUAACCAUUCUGACGAAUGUUGUGUCUUCUGUGUAUCGACUCCACCAGUGUUUAUUUAUUAUUUAGCAUUUUGUACAAUUUGUUCAUUUUGCCUUUCCGGAUGAAACAGGCUAUUAUGUUCGUUUUCACUUUAGGGAGUCGUGUCUUGUACUACAGGCUUGCUUGGUGCAGUAAUGGACAUUUGUAUUGGUCUUAAAAAUGCAAAAGACCUCCUACGCAACAUUUAGCUUGCAUACAAAUAGAUUUUGUGGUAACACGGUUUCUGGCCUCAGGACUGCUGCCCAGAGAUGGCCAUAUUGCCUGCGGAUACCUCAUUGAGAGUGAAAGAGUAGAUUGGGAGAAUAUGUCAGGAGAAUGAAAAACUAUGAAGGAGUAACUGAAUUUGAACCCAAAAUAUGUAUAUUAUACAUCAGUCCUGUGUAUCAAUACUAAAGGAAAUUUUAUUACAGAGAGCUGGUUGUUAGUGAUCACAGAGUAAAUAUCAAUACUCAGAGAAACUGCACUGGCACAUUUAAUUUAUUCCACAAUCUUGCGCCAUACAGGCCAUCCCUCUGGAGAUAAAUUCUGCAAGCCCAGUAACAUCAUUCCCUGACUUAAUGUGUUUGCGACAAAGGGACAUUCUCAUCCAAAAUGAUUUGCACAUCAAGAAGAGUCAUUACGCUUUAAUGGUGUUGGGAAAUGACCCUCUCUUAGCUUACGCUGGUGGAAAUCAAUGAGGCCUGCAUUACAGUGUUAUUGUGGCGGUCAUUUUCUGCUGAAUCAUGCUGUUUAAUUUCUUGCCCUUCGACAAAUCAUCCACCGACUUAUCAAUUUGGCCAGAGAGCUUACGUUUGAUUGCAUUAGAUGAGAUCACAUAAAAUAAAUAACAUAAUUGAAGUUCCUCUAAAAAUGCUACCAUGACAUCUCUUGAGUCUGCUAUGAAUCUAAUGAUCCUAUCAAUCUCAAGCUUAUCUAAGACUGAAAGGAGAAGGCAAAUGUCUGCUCGAGCCUCUAUUGAAUCUAUUUGUACUGUCAUAAUUGGAUCCUACCAGUAGGGGAGCACUGUAGCUCACAGUCAGACAAUGAACUCAAUGAACUGUUAGCAAAGCUGUGUGUUUGGCAGGACAAAUGGGCAUGCUUUUGACCUUCUGUAAUUUCCGUUUAUGACAUUUUGAACAUCAUUUUCUCAUCAGACAUUUUCGUUAAUUGACUGUAUCUAUUUUAAUGGCAUGUUGAAAACCCAGACAAUCUGUAAAAUAUUGUGGUCCGAAAACAAUAUGACAAACAAUAAACAAACCAUUUGAAAUAUG
This is a long non-coding RNA of Oncorhynchus kisutch (coho salmon), 2021 nucleotides long. RefSeq lists it as uncharacterized. The record is from RefSeq and is a predicted model, not a curated record. Lineage: Eukaryota; Metazoa; Chordata; Actinopteri; Salmoniformes; Salmonidae. The transcript has 2 exons.